GUUUGACCUCAAAUCAGGUAGGAUUACCCGCUGAACUUAAGCAUAUCAAUAAGCG
RNAcentral lists this ribosomal RNA (55 nucleotides) under Debaryomyces hansenii. RNAcentral describes it as "partial 28S ribosomal RNA". RNAcentral also lists the same sequence under 1 other name. Lineage: Eukaryota; Fungi; Ascomycota; Pichiomycetes; Serinales; Debaryomycetaceae. The record is from RNAcentral.